CAUCAACUGCUCAGAGGCCUCUUCCAAAUAUCAAGGCUGUUGACCCUCAUGGAAGCGACAUGGAGCUGACCACUACACCAGGCAAUCAGCUACGUUAGUUUUCACCGCUCAUGACAACCGCCCCGUCCUGCCACGACAAUCCAUAGGCAGGUUCUUCGUACUUACUGAGGGCCGCCUCUGACCAACAUCAAGCAAGAAAUUGAGCCUCCAGCCCAACAGACAGUGGAGAACAGCUGACCCUGAUCUGCCACUGAGUGAGCCUAGAAGCUGAUCCUACUCCAGGGACCCUUGAGCUGGCCAUUGCUCUGAUGAUAGCUACAGCCAUAAAAACCAACAUCACCACGAUGUUGUGGCAGAGGUGAUG
Molecule: long non-coding RNA, 364 nt
Organism: Jaculus jaculus (lesser Egyptian jerboa)
Lineage: Eukaryota; Metazoa; Chordata; Mammalia; Rodentia; Dipodidae
Exons: 4
Source: RefSeq, a predicted model, not a curated record